RNAcentral lists this ribosomal RNA (253 nucleotides) under uncultured bacterium. RNAcentral describes it as "partial 16S ribosomal RNA". It matches the Rfam family "Bacterial small subunit ribosomal RNA", at positions 524 to 776 of the family's 1533-position model. The record is from RNAcentral.
UACGUAGGGGGCAAGCGUUGUCCGGAAUCAUUGGGCGUAAAGCGCGUGUAGGCGGCCAGAAAAGUCCGCUGUGAAAACUCGAGGCUCAACUUCGAGCUGUCGGUGGAAACUUUCUGGCUAGAGUCCGGAAGAGGAGAAUGGAAUUCCUGGUGUAGCGGUGAAAUGCGCAGAUAUCAGGAAGAACACCCGUGGCGAAGGCGGUUCUCUGGGCCACUACUGACGCUGAGAAGCGAAAGCAUGGGGAGCGAACAGG